Molecule: ribosomal RNA, 233 nt
Filed under: uncultured bacterium
Lineage: Bacteria
Description: partial 16S ribosomal RNA
Rfam family: Bacterial small subunit ribosomal RNA
Source: RNAcentral
GAUCCUGGCUCAGGAUGAACGCUAGCUACAGGCUUAACACAUGCAAGUCGGGGGGCAGCAUGGUCUUAGCUUGCUAAGGCUGAUGGCGACCGGCGCACGGGUGAGUAACACGUAUCCAACCUGCCGUCUACUCUUGGCCAACCUUCUGAAAGGAAGAUUAAUCCAGGAUGGGAUCAUGAGUUCACAUGUCCGCAUGAUUAAAGGUAUUUUCCGGUAGACGAUGGGGAUGCGUU